CCCUUAGAUGUUCUGGGCCGCACGCGUGCUACACUGAUGCAUUCAACGAGUCUAAAACCUGGUCUGAUAGGGCUGGGUAAUCUUUUGAAAGUGCAUCGUGAUUGGGAUAGAUGAUUGCAAUUCUUCAUCUUCAACGAGGAAUGCCUAGUAAACGCAAGUCAUCAGCUUGCAUUGAUUACGUCCCUGCCCUUUGUACACACCGCCCGUCGCUCCUGCCGAUUGAAUGAUCCGAUGAAUACCAUGGAUUGAGAGUACGAAUAGGUUCGCUUAUUUCUGCUGCUCGAGAAGUGGAGUAAAUCUUAUCAUUUAGAGGAAGGAGAAGUCGUAACA
Molecule: ribosomal RNA, 330 nt
Filed under: uncultured eukaryote
Lineage: Eukaryota
Description: partial 18S ribosomal RNA
Rfam family: Eukaryotic small subunit ribosomal RNA
Source: RNAcentral